This 460-nucleotide ribosomal RNA is filed under the name uncultured bacterium. RNAcentral's name for it is "partial 16S ribosomal RNA". It matches the Rfam family "Bacterial small subunit ribosomal RNA", at positions 338 to 795 of the family's 1533-position model. The record is from RNAcentral.
CCUACGGGAGUCAGCAGUGAGGAAUAUUGGUCAAUGGACGAGAGUCUGAACCAGCCAAGUCGCGUGAAGGAUGACUGCCCUAUGGUUUGUAAACUUCUUUUAUCUGGGAAUAAAAUGUCCCACGUGUGGGAUUUUGUAUGUACCAUAUGAAUAAGGAUCGGCUAACUCCGUGCCAGCAGCCGCGGUAAUACGGAGGAUCCGCACGUUAUCCGGAUUUAUUGGGUUUAAAGGGUGUGUUGGCGGAUUAUUAAGUCAGUUGUGAAAGUUGGCGGCUGAACCGUAACAUUGCAGUUGAAACUGGCAGUCGUGAGUGCAGUAGAGGUGUGCGGAAUUCGUGGUGUAGCGGUGAAAUGCUUAGAUAUCACGAAGAACUCCGAUUGCGAAGGCAGCAUACUGGCCUGCGACUGACACUGAGGCACGAAAGUGUGGGUAUCAAACAGGAUUAGAUACCCGGGUAGUC